This 497-nucleotide ribosomal RNA is filed under the name uncultured bacterium. RNAcentral's name for it is "partial 16S ribosomal RNA". It matches the Rfam family "Bacterial small subunit ribosomal RNA", at positions 28 to 507 of the family's 1533-position model. The record is from RNAcentral.
GAUGAACGCUGGCGGCGUGCCUAAUACAUGCAAGUCGAGCGAACAGACGAGGAGCUUGCUCCUCUGACGUUAGCGGCGGACGGGUGAGUAACACGUGGAUAACCUACCUAUAAGACUGGGAUAACUUCGGGAAACCGGAGCUAAUACCGGAUAAUAUAUUGAACCGCAUGGUUCAAUAGUGAAAGACGGUUUUGCUGUCACUUAUAGAUGGAUCCGCGCCGCAUUAGCUAGUUGGUAAGGUAACGGCUUACCAAGGCAACGAUGCGUAGCCGACCUGAGGGGGUGAUCGGCCACACUGGAGCUGAGACACGGUCCAGACUCCUACGGGAGGCAGCAGUAGGGAAUCUUCCGCAAUGGGCGAAAGCCUGACGGAGCAACGCCGCGUGAGUGAUGAAGGUCUUCGGAUCGUAAAACUCUGUUAUUAGGGAAGAACAAAUGUGUAAGUAACUAUGCACGUCUUGACGGUACCUAAUCAGAAAGCCACGGCUAACUACGUG